AGAAGUUUGUUGGCUGAAAGAAAAGCCAAGAAAGAAAAUUCGCCGAUGACCGACAGACUAAUGCUGAAAGCCGUAGCAAUGCAUUAGAAUGAUUAUACAUUAAUUAAAUUAUCAAUUAUUCUUGCACGGGUUACCGCAGUUAAGGAACAGGUCAUUAAUAAUGGGAGGCAGUGGGCGGUGCGUGAGAAAAGGGGGACGGCUUCAACUAUUUUUUCCGAAUUGGGGGCGGCUUUAAACUGAAAAAUAUGUGACAUGGGGCGACCCCAAAUUUUUAAUACUUUCCAACUCAUUUUCAAAAUAUUCCUAUAGUUCCUAUAAUUGUAGUUUCAAUAGUAUAUUACGUAUAUGCAGUUCACCAUAGAAGUCGGAGUAAAUAACAACCAUUUCACAGCGGGCAGAAAAGCACAAUUGUGUUAUAAAUAAUUUGUGGUAAUUCCAGCCAUGUAAUCUAUUGUGUAACUAAUUUUUUAUAAUAGUUUGUGUUAAAUGGCAAAAUCUGUAAAAUAAAAUAAAAUAAAUACCUUGUUAUCAACCA
Molecule: non-coding RNA, 535 nt
Organism: Paramuricea clavata
Lineage: Eukaryota; Metazoa; Cnidaria; Anthozoa; Malacalcyonacea; Plexauridae
Source: the annotation of a GenBank genome assembly